Long non-coding RNA from Rosa chinensis, 523 nucleotides. RefSeq lists it as uncharacterized. The record is from RefSeq and is a predicted model, not a curated record. The transcript has 5 exons. NCBI's taxonomy places the organism in Eukaryota, Viridiplantae, Streptophyta, Magnoliopsida, Rosales, Rosaceae.
CUCCGCGUACUUGAAAUUAAAUGUGAAUUGAAAUAGCUGCAUGAAAUGUCAUUCACAAUGUGAAUUCUUGUUUAAGUUUGAAUUUUGAUUCAUGUAUCAAGUAGGGAUCUCUGUUUAGAUUGUGACUUAUUCAGGUUUUGGGUGCAGGUUGAUGGCAUCAGGUGGGCAGUGUGGAAAUCCCUUCAUUUGUUAAAGCUUGAGAAAACAUUGUCUUAAGGCCUUACUGGAAAACUCCUUCGGCCAUCUUCGGCUGUUUUCAGUGUAUUGGUACACAGCGGUGGGGUGCAUGGUGGACAUUACUAGGCCUUUAUCAGGCCGAUGCUUUCCAAUCAUUGUAUGGAAAAGUUGUGCAAGCUCUAAGAAGAGGCGACCUCCGACUUCUUCGGCAUGCUUUUCAAGAGCAUGAAGACAGGUUCUUUAGGUUUGCUGUAUAUCUUGUCCUAGAGAAGCUAGAACUUCAGGUCUAUCAGAGAUUGUUGAAAAAAGAUUUAUAUUAUCCAAAAGCAGAAGGACCCAAGAAAGC